UGGGGAAUAUUGCACAAUGGGCGCAAGCCUGAUGCAGCCAUGCCGCGUGUGUGAAGAAGGCCUUCGGGUUGUAAAGCACUUUCAGCGAGGAGGAAGGGUAGUGUGUUAAUAGCACAUUGCAUUGACGUUACUCGCAGAAGAAGCACCGGCUAACUCCGUGCCAGCAGCCGCGGUAAUACGGAGGGUGCAAGCGUUAAUCGGAAUUACUGGGCGUAAAGCGCACGCAGGCGGUUUGUUAAGUCAGAUGUGAAAUCCCCGCGCUUAACGUGGGAACUGCAUUUGAAACUGGCAAGCUAGAGGCUUGUAGAGGGGGGUAGAAUUCCAGGUGUAGCGGUGAAAUGCGUAGAGAUCUGGAGGAAUACCGGUGGCGAAGGCGGCCCCCUGGACAAAGACUGACGCUCAGGUGCGAAAGCGUGGGGAGCAAACA
This 427-nucleotide ribosomal RNA is filed under the name uncultured bacterium. RNAcentral's name for it is "partial 16S ribosomal RNA". It matches the Rfam family "Bacterial small subunit ribosomal RNA", at positions 355 to 774 of the family's 1533-position model. The record is from RNAcentral.